ACCAAUUUCUGUGAGUAGGACCUGCAAAAUAGGAAUUUUAGCCUAAACCAUGUAGUAGGUAAAGCAAUGAACAUAAUAUAGAAAAUAAAUCAUGAUAUUGAAAGCCAUUCUCCUCUAUCUUAUAUAAUUGAACAUUAACGGGGCAUAGAUGCACAGUAUCAAGCCAAUGAAGAAAAAAAGAAUAAUUAUUAUUAUUAUUUUU
Molecule: unclassified non-coding RNA, 202 nt
Filed under: Hevea brasiliensis (rubber tree)
Lineage: Eukaryota; Viridiplantae; Streptophyta; Magnoliopsida; Malpighiales; Euphorbiaceae
Source: RNAcentral